AGCUCCAAUAGCGUAUAUUAAAGUUGCUGCAGUUAAAAAGCUCGUAGUUGCAUUUCCGAGGCAAGGGAUUAGUCCGACCUUUGGUGGGUAUUUAAUCCUCUUGCCUCGUCCUUGAGUGGUGCUUCUUGGUAUUAAGUUAUCGAGGAGAUAGCCGCUCAUCGUUUACUGUGAGAAAAUUAGAGUGUUCAAAGCAGGCUUAUGCCGUUGAAUAUAUUAGCAUGGAAUAAUAAGAUAGGACCUCGGUACUAUGUGGUUGGUUUGAGAACCAAGGUAAUGAUGAAUAGGGACAGUUGGGGGUAUUCGUAUUCAGUUGUCAGAGGUGAAAUUCUUAGAUUUACGGAAGACGAACUACUGCGAAAGCAUUUACCAAGGAUGUUUUCA
Molecule: ribosomal RNA, 381 nt
Filed under: uncultured marine Chaetocerotaceae
Lineage: Eukaryota; Bacillariophyta; Thalassiosirophyceae; Chaetocerotales; Chaetocerotaceae
Description: SSU rRNA
Rfam family: Eukaryotic small subunit ribosomal RNA
Source: RNAcentral